Molecule: ribosomal RNA, 1343 nt
Filed under: uncultured bacterium
Lineage: Bacteria
Description: 16S ribosomal RNA
Rfam family: Bacterial small subunit ribosomal RNA
Source: RNAcentral
GACGAACGCUGGUGGCGUGCUUGACACAUGCAAGUCGAACGGAAAGGCCCUGCUUUUGUGGGGUGCUCGAGUGGCGAACGGGUGAGUAACACGUGAGUAACCUGCCCUUGACUUUGGGAUAACUUCAGGAAACUGGGGCUAAUACCGGAUAGGAGCUCCUGCUGCAUGGUGGGGGUCGGAAAGUUUCGGCGGUUGGGGAUGGACUCGCGGCUUAUCAGCUUGUUGGUGGGGUAGUGGCUUACCAAGGCUUUGACGGGUAGCCGGCCUGAGAGGGUGACCGGCCACAUUGGGACUGAGAUACGGCCCAGACUCCUACGGGAGGCAGCAGUGGGGAAUAUUGCACAAUGGGCGGAAGCCUGAUGCAGCAACGCCGCGUGCGGGAUGACGGCCUUCGGGUUGUAAACCGCUUUCGCCUGUGACGAAGCGUGAGUGACGGUAAUGGGUAAAGAAGCACCGGCUAACUACGUGCCAGCAGCCGCGGUGAUACGUAGGGUGCGAGCGUUGUCCGGAUUUAUUGGGCGUAAAGGGCUCGUAGGUGGUUGAUCGCGUCGGAAGUGUAAUCUUGGGGCUUAACCCUGAGCGUGCUUUCGAUACGGGUUGACUUGAGGAAGGUAGGGGAGAAUGGAAUUCCUGGUGGAGCGGUGGAAUGCGCAGAUAUCAGGAGGAACACCAGUGGCGAAGGCGGUUCUCUGGGCCUUUCCUGACGCUGAGGAGCGAAAGCGUGGGGAGCGAACAGGCUUAGAUACCCUGGUAGUCCACGCUGUAAACGGUGGGUACUAGGUGUGGGGUCCAUUCCACGGGUUCCGUGCCGUAGCUAACGCUUUAAGUACCCCGCCUGGGGAGUACGGCCGCAAGGCUAAAACUCAAAGGAAUUGACGGGGCCCCGCACAAGCGGCGGAGCAUGCGGAUUAAUUCGAUGCAACGCGUAGAACCUUACCUGGGUUUGACAUGGAUCGGGAGUGCUCAGAGAUGGGUGUGCCUCUUUUGGGGUCGGUUCACAGGUGGUGCAUGGCUGUCGUCAGCUCGUGUCGUGAGAUGUUGGGUUAAGUCCCGCAACGAGCGCAACCCUUGUUCACUGUUGCCAGCACGUUAUGGUGGGGACUCAGUGGAGACCGCCGGGGUCAACUCGGAGGAAGGUGGGGAUGACGUCAAGUCAUCAUGCCCCUUAUGUCCAGGGCUUCACGCAUGCUACAAUGGCUGGUACAGAGAGUGGCGAGCCUGUGAGGGUGAGCGAAUCUCGGAAAGCCGGUCUCAGUUCGGAUUAGGGUCUGCAACUCGACCUCAUGAAGUCGGAGUCGCUAGUAAUCGCAGAUCAGCAACGCUGCGGUGAAUACGUUCCCGGG